CCUGGGGACCACAUACUGCCACCCCUGCUGUGUUAGUUAUUUGUCUGCGGCCUCCUAGGUCGUGGGCAUAUGUAAAACCCCAAGAGCAAACUGGAGGGCUUAUUUAGGAUUUUCUACUUGUCCUUUGGGUUUUUCAUUUCAUUUUGUUUGGCGGGGUUUCUAUAUUGACAGCCAAAUCAAUUCUGUGAUUUCUUUUUUCUGCUUUUUUAGAGCUGCACCUGUGCGGACCUAGAAAAAAAAAAAAGAAUUGCCGUGUGUCCUUUAGGUUUUCAUUUCAUCUCAUUUGGUCCCAUCUGGUGUGGUUUCUCCAUUGACAGCCAAAUCAACUGUGAUAUUUAAAACUUGGUGAUGUCAGAUGGAGGAAAGGAAAGACAAAACCUGACAUUCCCGGGAGAAGAGACAGACUCCACGGGGUCCCUAAAAUUGCCAAAAGCCCCAGCCCAGAAUCCAGGCCGGCUGGUUGAGGUCAAGGCGAAAGUCACCGUUUCAUGUUCAGAGGUGAUCAACUGCUACUUAGGAUUUUACGGUGGCCUUUCUGUGAGGAAGCCCGGAAGGAGGGUGGAAUCCUUUCGGGCAAGGGUCUGUGCAGUUCCGUCAGGGAGAACAGAGAAGGAAAGGAAGGAGCAGGAGGGUGGAGGACCUGCUGCUUUAACGCCUAACCCUCCAGCCAAGCGAGCUCUCCUAGCCCCUCCAGCCGCUCUGCCCGCACAUCUACUCUUUCCACCACCUUCUGCUCCUGUCCAGCUCCUGUCCAGCCCCAAGUCGGGACAACAGGGGCUCAGGCCCUCCCUUCCUCAUAGGAGUCAAUUAGAAGAUCCUGGAGUUCCCGUCGUGGCGCAGUGGUUAACGAAUCCGACUAGGAACCAUGAGGUUGCGGGUUCGGUCCCUGCCCUUGCUCAGUGGGUUAACGAUCCGGUGUUGCCGUGAGCUGUGGUGUAGGUUGCAGACGCGGCUCGGGUCCUGCGUUGCUGUGGCUCUGGCAUAGGCUGGUGGCUACAGCUCCGAUUGGACCCCUAGCCUGGGAACCUCCAUAUGCCACGGGAGCGGCCCAAGAAAUAGAAAAAAAAAAAGACAAAAAAAAAGAAGAUCCUGUGUGUGGGAGUUCCCAUCGUGGCUAAGCGAAAAGGAACCCGACUAGAAUCCACGAGGAUGCGGGUUUGAUCCCUAGCCUUGCUCAGUGGGUUAAGGAUCCGGCAUUGCCUGACCUGUAGUGUAGGUCACAGAAGCGGCUCAGAUCCCGCGUUGCUGUGGGUGUGGUAUAGGCCUGCAGCUGUAGCUCUGAUUCAACCACUAGCCUGGGAAGUUCCAUGUGCCUUGGGUGUGGCCCUAAAAAGCAAAAUAAAAAAAAAGGAUCCUGUGUGAGUUUCUGGGGCACAGGGACGUGAUCUGAUAUCACCAUCUAAGACCCAACAGGGUGCCCCACUGGGUCCAGGAGCCACUCCCAGGGCAGGGCGGUUUCUCUUAUGGGGCACCUCACUGGGGGUAAGGGCAGAAGACGAUGGGCCAGCUGGGUUGCUCG
This 1519-nucleotide long non-coding RNA is filed under the name Sus scrofa (pig). RNAcentral's name for it is "lncRNA (ENSSSCG00040006328.1)". Lineage: Eukaryota; Metazoa; Chordata; Mammalia; Artiodactyla; Suidae. The record is from RNAcentral.